Molecule: long non-coding RNA, 268 nt
Filed under: Lathyrus oleraceus (garden pea)
Lineage: Eukaryota; Viridiplantae; Streptophyta; Magnoliopsida; Fabales; Fabaceae
Description: Pisum sativum (pea) long non-coding RNA (PSAT_LNC025858)
Source: RNAcentral
UUUGGCCAAUUUGGGUGGGGUUUUUUCCUACAAGUCACAUUUGAUCCCCUCUUUCCAAAAAUGUAACUUUCAUGUACCAAAACCUUAUGGAUCAAAAUGGCAUUUUUUGACUUACUUGAAUUAAUUUCAAGUGAAGUGAAAUUUUGACUUUUUAAAAUAACCAUUUGUAAUCACUUUGGCCAUUGGAAUAUGUUCAGAAAUGACAUUUGAGACUUGUUGGAAGCCCAUUUUCGUGCAGUACACACACCCAUCACCAACUUGCUUGAAA